This is a long non-coding RNA of Mya arenaria, 788 nucleotides long. RefSeq lists it as uncharacterized. The record is from RefSeq and is a predicted model, not a curated record. The transcript is spliced from 3 exons. NCBI's taxonomy places the organism in Eukaryota, Metazoa, Mollusca, Bivalvia, Myida, Myidae.
GACUGAUGAGACUAAUGAGAAUAAUGUUUUAUGGCGUAUGGACUAUGGUCUACCGAUUAAAUAUGCCAACGAACUAAAUUUCGAUUAGAAAUAAUCGAAAACGUCUUCCUUUGUCAAUGCCAAAGAUAGCAGAUUUGAAUAACCAGUUGGACACAUUUGUUUGAAGUUGUGGAUCUUUAGACUCUGGAGCAAAUCUCGUUUGUGUCAUGAUGGUAGGGGACACAGGGCUGGCUUCUUUGUGGAGACGGUUGUUGUCACAGAAAGGAGCGAGGACAAGUCACACAUAAGGCACGUGUUCCAGUGCGGCCCCUGGCUGGACUCGCACAACGGUAACUGCCACAUGGAGACGAUGCUGAGAAUGAUUGGUUGCUCAUGUACGGUGACUGUGAAGACUAGCGAGGGUAAAAGGACGGCCACCACAGGGAAGGUUCAAAUCACCAUGUAUGGCACCAGUGGCCACACUGCAGCCCUCCUCCUCUCAUCUUUAGACCCUGGGACUCUGGCAUUCACUUCCGGGGCCAAGUCUGAGUUCCAUAUCAGCACCGGGCACGUUUGCCGAGUAACCAAGAUCUGACUAGAAUGUGACAACUCUGGCUCUAAACCUGACUGGAGGGUUGAUUAUGUAUGAUAUUGCUGAUUUUAUUGUGCAUUCCUUUUGAUUAACUUAAGCCACUAGAAGCUAAGUAUAAUGAUCAUUAUGAGAAUCGUGAUUUGUACUAACAUACAUCGCCCUAAAAUCCUAUAAUGGGCCAUAGUUCUAUAUCUGUUCUGUAAAUAAUACAUGACAU